This is a long non-coding RNA of Triticum dicoccoides, 2712 nucleotides long. RefSeq lists it as uncharacterized. The transcript is spliced from 12 exons. NCBI's taxonomy places the organism in Eukaryota, Viridiplantae, Streptophyta, Magnoliopsida, Poales, Poaceae. The record is from RefSeq and is a predicted model, not a curated record.
GUUCUCUCUUGAUACAAUUAUACCUAUUACAGUAAUACAAACCCUAGCGGGGCUACUUUCCCCUUUCUUCUCCCAUGAGAUCCGCUGAAAUUCUCUCGAUUGGGGCCUUGAAUCCCCUUAGGGCGUGACACUCCUUCCCUCGUCCGCCGCCUCGCUCCCUCGCUCUCCUCCCUCGCGCCAUGGCCUUCGCCCUAGGAGCCCCGUCGCCUACUACUGCUCCUCCACCACCUCGCCUCUUUCUCCUCCUCGCCUUCCCUUCGCUCGCCCGCAGGUCGCUGCCGUUGGAGAACACAGGAGUGCGGGUCUUCAAGUUGGGGUGGUCAGGAGGGCUGCCCAACCUGACGGCGCAUCCUCCUCCUCACAGCUUCGUCGCACGCGCACCUUCUUCUCCUCCCUCCUCCCUCCCUCGUCACUACUUCCACCAGUCCCCUCCCUCCCUCGUCCGUGGCCGCUGCUGCCGCACAAAUCUCCUAGGUCAGGGAAAGGAAGAAGGCCUUGGCGAGUCAGCAGGGGUGGGUGGAGCGGCUGAUGCGGAUGGGGUCGACGGUUGAGGGAGGGUUGCCGACCAGAGCAGCAGGAGCAAGAGCUCGAGAAGGUUCAGAUUGGAUACAAAUGGUUCAGCAAAGAGGGAGUGUGUAACCGCAUCAGAGAUUAGGCCAUGGAGCAAGAGUGUGUGACUAGGUUGUGCAAAUUUUUUCCCUAGAGACAGCAGAGGAACCCCUCCUGGUCGAGCCCCCACCCUAUCCUCUCCACCUUUAGAGGAGAACCCCAUGAAAGCUAAAAGUUUGUGGAGGAGUGUUGGCACAGUUUUUUAGAGGGUGUUUCGGACUCAAGAUUGAUCUGAUAGUGCACGUGGUAUUGUUUGCCAUGACCAGGAAUAUCUGAUCUGCGCCAUGACAAUAUGGGCUUGCUGCAGCCAGGCAGUUCUUCAGAGUAUGGUGCUUCGAUUUGGUUCCUGUGGUGAGCGUAUAUGGAGAGGCCAGAAGCAGCAGGGGUCGGCGGAGUGGCGGAUGUGGUCGACGGAGCAGCAGCGGUAGGAGCAAGGAGCUCGAGAUGGUUCAGGAAAAGUGCCUACAGAGAUUUCAGAACUAGAUAGAUGUGUCUUAUGAUAGUAUUGCUAAAGAACAUCAGAUAAUUCAGCGGUUCUUCCUUCUUAGUAUCAAUGAAUAGGUUGAUUACAGAAUAUAUUUGAAGAUUGCAGCAGGCACAAAAUGCUCGGCAAACAAAAAUAAUUAGCUUUGAGGUUGCCUAGAGAGAGACCACUCUCGCAUCAUUAGGUGCCGCCCACAAGGAUCUCCCGCGGCGAGGCAUGCACACCUAUGCCACAUCAUUACAUGUGACCAGGCGCAUAGGAGAGCUGCAUACAUUUUGUAUGGAUGUAUAUAGUUGCACUAUACUGGUAUGUAUGUCAGCUGCAGUAGCUUGCCAGUUAGUCCUUGGUGAAGGCUACAUAUGACAGAUGCAUUCUAACCUAUAAGGAGGCUGGCCAACUUGCCUCCACAGAGCUCCCACGACUGGGCCCUUUCUGACUGUCCGAUCACGAUCAUGCCAUGUUUUAGCGCUCAUGGAGUUCCCGUGAUAUACGUUGAGUCUGGUGAUCCUUACAAAACAUAUAUGGAAGGCUAUGGAUCUUAUCAUGGAUGAGCUCGAAAAUAUAUUAAUUUCAAAUCCAUAUAUACAUCACACUCAUACCCGAAACUGAACAGGGACAAGAACAUGCAAUUAUAUGUUGUGGUAGAUUUCAAAAGAGACCCAUGGCCCAGAGUAGUUUUGCACAAAUGAAGGAUAUCAGACAGACCCAUGGAGCAAGAGAUCCUCUUUGUCAGGGCCACCUUACUUGUAUGGCCUCAAGCUCAGGGGACCCUUCUAACUAAGGUGGUUAUUACUUACUUGCUGAUUUGAACCUAGAAUAGAAUGUCAUUUCGUGCUUGUCAGUAGGAUCUCAUGUUUAAUCUAUAGAUCUUUUUAGUCAGUGUAUUUGCAAACCAGUUGCGAGUUAGUACCUAGGAAAAUGAACAUUUUUCGACCUCAUAUUUGCAUAUCAGUAUCCUUGUCUAAUUUAAGAUUACUUUUCUUAUCAUGAAGAAGAUUUGUGCUGCUGCCGCAUUCUUCAGUUUCUGGUGUUUUAGAUGUUAGUUCAUUGUUGAGAUAGUUUUGGUAUGUCCGUCUUUUGGAAAAUAUGUAUUUUUUGUUUUCUGGACGUUGUUGCAGAUCCUAUGCACCUGCCUCCUUCCUCUAGGCACGUGAAGGCUAACAUGAGGAGCUGACGAGCUAAACAAGGAGCUGGAGCAGGAUUGUAGGAGGGAGGUACACUAGGGGCUGGAGCAGGACAACCAUUGUUUCAGAUCCACUUGACUCAUCCCAAGUGGUUGCAAUGUCUUCUUAUGUAAUUUUUAUUUACACACAUAAUGAUAAGAGACUUAUUUUUUCCGAAUGAUUAGGAUCAUAGUAGUUUAAAAAAGGAUACAAAAAUAUGAAAAUAAGAGCUUCCAUUCAUAAAAUUUGUACAAAAUGUCCCUUUCCAUAAUGAAGUUGGUUUCUAAUCACACACAUGUACUGCUACAUGAUCCUAUACGUGUUGUCUGAAUUAAGUGAAAGGAUAUUGGCAUUUUCUCUCCCGGUUAAUCAGGACUUAUUGACAGGGACUUGGGAUAAUUGAACUUAGAAGGUUUUCUAUCUUAUAAUAUGAUAAUGCAGGCUUCCUUACCUUGA